RNAcentral lists this ribosomal RNA (466 nucleotides) under uncultured bacterium. Its description in RNAcentral is "partial 16S ribosomal RNA". It matches the Rfam family "Bacterial small subunit ribosomal RNA", at positions 30 to 507 of the family's 1533-position model. The record is from RNAcentral.
CGAACGCUGGCGGCGUGCUUAACACAUGCAAGUCGAACGGAAAGGCCCUGCUUUUGUGGGGUGCUCGAGUGGCGAACGGGUGAGUAACACGUUAGUAACCUGCCCUUGACUUUGGGAUAACUUCAGGAAACUGGGGCUAAUACCGGAUAGGAGCUCCUGCUGCAUGGUGGGGGUUGGAAAGUUUCGGCGGUUGGGGAUGGACUCGCGGCUUAUCAGCUUGUUGGUGGGGUAGUGGCUUACCAAGGCUUUGACGGGUAGCCGGCCUGAGAGGGUGACCAGCCACAUUGGGACUGAGAUACGGCCCAGACUCCUACGGGAGGCAGCAGUGGGGAAUAUUGCACAAUGGGCGGAAGCCUGAUGCAGCAACGCCGCGUGCGGGAUGACGGCCUUCGGGUUGUAAACCGCUUUCGCCUGUGACGAAGCGUGAGUGACGGUAAUGGGUAAAGAAGCACCGGCUAACUACGUG